Non-coding RNA from Chrysemys picta bellii (western painted turtle), 3967 nucleotides. The record is from RefSeq and is a predicted model, not a curated record. NCBI's taxonomy places the organism in Eukaryota, Metazoa, Chordata, Testudines, Emydidae.
GCCAUAGGUUGCCUACCCCUGUACUAUGGGGUUCAGUAUUUUCCUAGGCUAAUAACUACAUGUUGAUCAUAUUGAUGCUACUGUGCAGUAGCAUUGGUCAACUCUAAUUAGUACAUUGUUGACUAGAGAGAACCACAUCCAGAUCUCAGCUGAAAGACUAUCAGCAUGAGUGUUAAUCUCAAAGAUUAAAGGAGUAAUAAGAGUUGGGUUAUCUGAGGCCCCCAAAAUAAAGGGGGAAAAAGGUAAAGAGGCUGCUCAGCCUCUGUAGGUGGUAGAGGCACUAAUUGUGCCACAGGAGGCUAAAAACCCACUCCAUCAGCUGAAGGCAAAAAGAGUCACCUCAUGAUCCAGAGAGUGUAGUCAUGCUACAGUUAAGUGGAAAGGAAGGUUCAGACUUUCAAAGCUAUCUUGGGAAUUUACAUUCUCCCCUGAAGCCUAGUUCUCAUGGAUGACAGUUUCCUAAAUAGCUUUGAAAGUUUUAACUGUAGCAUACAGAUACCAGGUACCUUCAAAAAGCAACAGUCUGAAGAAGUGAGGUUCUUACCCACGAAAGCUUAUGCUCCCAGUACUUCUGUUAGUCUCAAAGGUGCCACAGGACCCUCUGUUGCUUUUUACAGAUUCAGACUAACACGACUACCCCUCUGAUACCAGGUACCUUCAGUUAGCUAAGUUCAUUAAUUGAACAUGGGACAGUACUAAAGUUCCUAGGGUGCAGAUUAGUCAGGUCUAGAAGGCCAUAAUUAUCUUGGGUUCUCUUGUUUAACCUACCUGAUCGCUGUAGUUGCUGUUGCAUCAUUGCCAGCUGCAGAGGUGUCCCAGAGCGUGGGUUUAAGAGGUGAUGGCCAGCUGUUGGUAAUGGAUAAAAAGGCUGGCCCAGGAUGGGAGUAGAUAUUCCCUGUAUGUGAGACAAGUCCACCCCUGGAGGAAUCAUACCUAUUGAUUAGACAAGGGUGGGGGGUGGGGGGGAGGCCCAUUACUUUAUUAAAAUGUCAGAAAUAUAAACAGAGGAGCUUCAUUUGAAAGGCACACUUGUUUAGCAAUUGCUGGUUUGUGAGAGUACUGUCAGUCUUAUGAAAGGAGUUUGUUGUAAUAGGGAAAAUAGCCUAUUUGUGGCAAUCACCACACAUCUUAGUCUAGCAUUAUGUAAGGGUGUCAGUGCUUAAGAGGCCAAGAACAAGUUUAUUUUGAAGUUUCACCCUAGCAAUUAAGUGGUAUAAGUAAGAGGAUUACCUGCUUGCAGCAGAGGAAGAUGUUGUGGAUGCAUCCCCUGUGCCAGCAUCCUCUGGACCAAUCCUGGAUGCAGUUGAUGAGUAGGUCGUACAAUUGGUACAUGGGGAACAAGGGGUACCUGGUGAACAGGACGAAGGAAGGGAGACCCUGGUACAGGGGAGGCUGUUGUAGGAGUCUUUCUGCCAGUUGAUUUAGGCCUGUAGUCUUGUUCUUUGGUGCAACGGUUUGGCUGAGAAAGCGGUGUAGAACAUGCAGAGCGUUGCAAUGCAGCUAGUUUGGAACUUAUAGCAGGUGAAGUAUCUUGGUCUGCAUUCUCCACCAAGCUAGCUGAUAGUAAGUUAUCUGUAGUCAAAUUAAAAUAUGACUUUAAAUCUGAUUUCUAGUUGUGCAAUGUACAAAAGGCAGAAAUGUCUUAAAGCUAGGUAUGGUAUUUGCUAGACUAUCAAUUACAAGUCUGGAAGAUAUACAAGAGUCUGAGCUUAGUCAGAUGUCUUCCUACCACUUCCCUCAUCUUUCCUGGAUUCCUUCAGAAGUCAAAGGAAAGUUGAGGAGGCAAUGAGGAGAAAGGAGUCAGUAUUUGAGUUUGACAAGAGUGGAUUUUUUUUUAGUGUCUCAGCUUUAUUAAAUUCAUGCUGAAAUACUGACAAGCUAGGUCUAAAAACCUAGUUCAGUACAGGGAUAUCCCUCAAACCCAGGUUCUUCAGAUUAGCUAUAUGAGCGUACUAACAAUGCCCUUAUAGCUCCAGGAUUGGAUGCAGUCUUUACUGCUAGAGGAGCAUGCCUGGAAAUCUAUUUUGUUUUUUUAAAUAGAAAAUCCGGGUUGGAAGGGACCUCAGGAGGUCAUCUAGUCCAACCCCCUGCUCAAAGCAGGAUCAAUCCCCAGACAGAUUUUUGCCCCGAUCCUUAAAUGGCUCCCUCAAGGAUUGAACUCACAACCCUGGGUUUAGCAGGCCAAUGCUCAAACCACUGAGCUACCCCUCCCCCAGUUGACAGGUUAUAAUUUAGAAAUACAGCUAGAUUUGACAAAGUGAUACUUGGAAGAAUUAAGUUUGUAUUCUUGGGGAUAGACAUUAAGUCUUAUAACUACUGGAAUUAAUCACAUGCAAAUUGGAGGCAGUCCUUACUUUUUGGGGGGGCGGGAGGGAGGAAGAAAACCAACAACAAAAACCACCACAAAAGAAUGCACAGGAUUAUCAGUUUUCCCAAAGAUGAAAAAUUUACAGGCAAGACAAGCUUCUCAUCUAGUAAGCCAACUUCCACAAAAAUUUAACUGGUAGAAAGUAGAAAUGAAGAAGGGUCAACAAGUGUGUUAAGGAAUAAUAGUUACACAGGAGGAAAUUCCUGCAUAUCCUGGUAACCAAGGGCAGUGUUAACUGAGGAUGCCAUGUCCACUAAUGUUUAGUGAGGGUGGAGAGACCCAAGCUGCAGCUUUUCAGAUCUUACACUGUCUCUCCUCUCUUCACAUAGUACACUCCUCCAUUGCAGCAACCUCUAAGCCCAGUCCUCCAUCAGUCUAUACUCAUGCCAGUUUUAAGGUUAGUGGUUUAACAAUUACUUCAGACCACAGCUCAAUUUUAUAGUCAAGUUACAAAGUUAAUCAGUGGAUGGAACCUAACCAUAGGAGAUAGCACCUCUUACUCAGAUGUUUGUCAGGCUAGUUACAUCUUGCCACAUUAAUUUCCAAACUAUGAUGUGUGAGGGGUAGAUGUUUUACCCAGGUAUUCAUCUUAAAGAAAUCUUGUCUGGCUCUUGAUGCCAUUAUAACCCCCUUCACCCCUGCAAUCUUCCAUAUAAAUCCUACAAGGUGCAGCCGAGGUAUUAAUAAAACUGCUACUGGAUCACUGGGGGAGUUAGAAAGCCAUCUUUUACCAUGCUCUAUUUAGUCAGCUGAAAUGACUGUCAAAGGGAGUAGAGAAAAGGGCCAUUAUUUCAUUAGUGACAGGUCAGAGGCAGUUGCAGAAUCUUCACAAUAUAAAUUUCUCAGUUCCAGUUUACCCUUCUACCAUGCUAUUUUUAUUGCUCAAAAUAGCAAUUGGUUGACUAUUUCUUCUUAACUUCUCUGGACAUCCUUUAAGCAAGGUGACAAUCUGCACAAUAAGAUCUCAACUGGCAGAGCAGUCAUUUAAGGGCAGUCUUAAGAGUUCUAGAUUGCACCUGAUCCCCAAGAACUCCUCUCAAAUAAGGAAGAGAUGGAAGUGUGUCUAACAUGGUAACAUACACAAUUCCUACUGAACCAACGUACCUUUUUCUAAUAGGUAGAGGCCAAAAAACCCUGUUUGCAAGUCUAAGCCAUUAGGCUUUAGAUGUUCAGGACAUCCUUUUAGACACCACUGUGCAACUAUAUCCAAGAGGAUCUGACCUUAAGGAAAAGUGAGUUAUCAAAGCCCACAGUGGUGGAAUUUUGCUCAAGGAGAGGCAAGCUAGCUUCCUAGUAAGAGGUACAGGAAGUUUGAAGUACACCUUCAUAAACACACUGUCCUGAGGUUGGGAAAUGUCUUAACACUACUUUAGAGGACCAGACUUGAAUUUAAGGAGCAGGAAUUCACAGCUUUGAUUCUAGCCUUGUGUAUUAGUGAAUCUGCCUUCAAGAACGAAGCAUUACAGUACCUUCGUGUGCCCUUUGACCUUCAUCUUUACUAUCAUUGGCUUUCAUUUUCCCAGAAACUGGCUCCUCCUUAUUUUUUUCUUUGCUUUCAUACAUCUUACGAAUCACUGAGGUAGGUGUGAAGGAAGGAGA